Molecule: ribosomal RNA, 1194 nt
Filed under: Pediococcus pentosaceus
Lineage: Bacteria; Bacillati; Bacillota; Bacilli; Lactobacillales; Lactobacillaceae
Description: bacterial SSU rRNA
Rfam family: Bacterial small subunit ribosomal RNA
Source: RNAcentral
AGUAUACGUUAGGCCGAACCUUGAAGAGGUAUUCGCACAUGACUGAGACCGUACAGACUCUACGGGAGCAGCAGGUAGGAUCCUCACAUGAUCGCAAGUCUGAUUGAGCCAACGCCGCCGUGAGUGAAAGAAAGGAUUCGACUCGUAAAGCUCUGUGUAAAGAAGAACGUGGGGUAAGAGUAACUGUUUACCCAGGGACGGUAUUAACCAGAAGGCCACGGCUAACUACGUGCAGCAGCCCGCGGUAUACGUAGGUGGCAAGCGUUAUCCGGGAUUUAUUUGGGCGUAAAGCGAGCGCAGGCGGUCUUUUAAGUCUAAUGUGAAAGCCUUCGGCUCAACCGAAGAAGUGCAUUGGAAACUGGGAGACUUGAGUGCAGAAGAGGACAGUGGAACUCCAUGUGUAGCGGUGAAAUGCGUAGAUAUAUGGAAGAACACCAGUGGCGAAGGCGGCUGUCUGGUCUGCAACUGACGCUGAGGCUCGAAAGCAUGGGUAGCGAACAGGAUUAGAUACCCUGGUAGUCCAUGCCGUAAACGAUGAUUACUAAGUGUUGGAGGGUUUCCGCCCUUCAGUGCUGCAGCUAACGCAUUAAGUAAUCCGCCUGGGGAGUACGACCGCAAGGUUGAAACUCAAAAGAAUUGACGGGGGCCCGCACAAGCGGUGGAGCAUGUGGUUUAAUUCGAAGCUACGCGAAGAACCUUACCAGGUCUUGACAUCUUCUGACAGUCUAAGAGAUUAGAGGUUCCCUUCGGGGACAGAAUGACAGGUGGUGCAUGGUUGUCGUCAGCUCGUGUCGUGAGAUGUUGGGUUAAGUCCCGCAACGAGCGCAACCCUUAUUACUAGUUGCCAGCAUUAAGUUGGGCACUCUAGUGAGACUGCCGGUGACAAACCGGAGGAAGGUGGGGACGACGUCAAAUCAUCAUGCCCCUUAUGACCUGGGCUACACACGUGCUACAAUGGAUGGUACAACGAGUCGCGAGACCGCGAGGUUAAGCUAAUCUCUUAAAACCAUUCUCAGUUCGGACUGUAGGCUGCAACUCGCCUACACGAAGUCGGAAUCGCUAGUAAUCGCGGAUCAGCAUGCCGCGGUGAAUACGUUCCCGGGCCUUGUACACACCGCCCGUCACACCAUGAGAGUUUGUAACACCCAAAGCCGGUGGGGUAACCUUAGGAGCUAGCCGUCUAACUUAUCCGUG